AGAGUUUGAUCCUGGCUCAGGAUGAACGCUAGCGGCAGGCUUAAUACAUGCAAGCCGAACGGGAUCCGAGGUAGCAAUACUUUGGUGAGAGUGGCGCACGGGUGCGUAACGCGUAUGCAACCUACCUAUAACUGGGACACAACCAGCCGAAAGGCUGGCUAAUAUUCCAUAACAUUGCGAUGUGGCAUCACAUUGCAAUUAAAGCUCCGGCGGUUAUAGAUGGGCAUGCGUGACAUUAGCUAGUUGGUGAGGUAACGGCUCACCAAGGCUACGAUGUCUAGGGGUUCUGAGAGGAUUUUCCCCCACACUGGUACUGAGACACGGACCAGACUCCUACGGGAGGCAGCAGUAAGGAAUAUUGGGCAAUGGACGCAAGUCUGACCCAGCCAUGCCGCGUGAAGGAUGAAGGCCCUAUGGGUUGUAAACUUCUUUUAUACGGGAAAAAACCUCCGGUCGUGAAUCGGAGCUGAUGGUACCGUAAGAAUAAGCAUCGGCUAUCUCCGUGCCAGCAGCCGCGGUAAUACGGAGGAGGCAAGCGUUACCCGGAUUCAUUGGGUUUAAAGGGUGCGCAGGCGGAGUGAUAAGUCAGUGGUGAAAUCCUACGGCUCAACUGUAGAACUGCCAUUGAUACUGUCAUUCUUGAGUACUGUUGAGGUGGGCGGAAUGUGUCAUGUAGCGGUGAAAUGCUUAGAUAUGACACAGAACACCGAUCGCGAAGGCAGCUCACCAAGCAGAAACUGACGCUCAUGCACGAAAGCGUGGGGAUCAAACAGGAUUAGAUACCCUGGUAGUCCACGCUGUAAACGAUGAUCACUCGAUGUUGGCGAUAUACAGUCAGCGUCUUAGCGAAAGUAUUAAGUGAUCCACCUGGGGAGUACGGUCGCAAGAUUGAAACUCAAAGGAAUUGACGGGGGCCCGCACAAGCGGAGGAGCAUGUGGUUUAAUUCGAUGAUACGCGAGGAACCUUACCUGGGCUCGAACGUGGUAUGACAGUCGCGGAAACGUGAUCUUCCUUCGGGACAUUCUACGAGGUGCUGCAUGGUUGUCGUCAGCUCGUGCCGUGAGGUGUCGGGUUAAGUCCCAUAACGAGCGCAACCCCUACCUUUAGUUGCCAUCAGGUAAUGCUGGGGACUCUAAAGGAACUGCCUACGCAAGUAGUGAGGAAGGCGGGGAUGACGUCAAAUCAGCACGGCCCUUACGUCCAGGGCUACACACGUGCUACAAUGGCCGGUACAGAGGGCAGCCACCUGGUGACAGGGAGCAAAUCUCCAAAGCCGGUCUCAGUUCGGAUCGAAGUCUGCAACCCGACUUCGUGAAGUUGGAUUCGCUAGUAAUCGCGCAUCAGCCAUGGCGCGGUGAAUACGUUCCCGGGCCUUGUACACACCGCCCGUCAAGCCAUGGAAGCUUGGGGUACCUAAAGUCCGUCACCGCAAGGAGCGGCCUAGGGUAAAACAGGUAACUAGGGCUAAGUCGUAACAAGGUAACCGUAA
This 1490-nucleotide ribosomal RNA is filed under the name uncultured bacterium. Its description in RNAcentral is "bacterial SSU rRNA". It matches the Rfam family "Bacterial small subunit ribosomal RNA". The record is from RNAcentral.